AGAGUUUGAUCCUGGCUCAGGACGAACGCUGGCGGCGUGCCUAAUACAUGCAAGUAGAACGCUGAAAUAAGAGCUUGCUCUUAUGGAUGAGUUGCGAACGGGUGAGUAACACGUGGGGAACCUACCUUCUAGCGGGGGAUAACACAUAGAAAUGUGUGCUAAUACCGCAUAAUAGUAUUUGAUGCAUAUCAGAUACUUGAAAGGCGCAAUUGCGUCACUAGAAGAUGGCCCCGCGGUGCAUUAGCUAGUUGGUGAGGUAACGGCUCACCAAGGCAAUGAUGCAUAGCCGACCUGAGAGGGUGAUCGGCCACACUGGGACUGAGACACGGCCCAGACUCCUACGGGAGGCAGCAGUAGGGAAUCUUCGGCAAUGGACGCAAGUCUGACCGAGCAACGCCGCGUGAGUGAAGAAGGUUUUCGGAUCGUAAAACUCUGUUGUAAGAGAAGAACGUUGAUGAGAGUGGAAAGUUCAUCAAGUGACGGUAUCUUACCAGAAAGCCACGGCUAACUACGUGCCAGCAGCCGCGGUAAUACGUAGGUGGCAAGCGUUGUCCGGAUUUAUUGGGCGUAAAGCGAGCGCAGGCGGUUGAUUAAGUCUGAUGUGAAAGCCCCCGGCUCAACCGGGGAGGGUCAUUGGAAACUGGUCAACUUGAGUGCAGAAGAGGAGAGUGGAAUUCCAUGUGUAGCGGUGAAAUGCGUAGAUAUAUGGAGGAACACCAGUGGCGAAGGCGGCUCUCUGGUCUGUAACUGACGCUGAGGCUCGAAAGCGUGGGGAGCGAACAGGAUUAGAUACCCUGGUAGUCCACGCCGUAAACGAUGAGUGCUAAGUGUUGGAGGGUUUCCGCCCUUCAGUGCUGCAGCUAACGCAUUAAGCACUCCGCUGGGAGUACGACGCAGUGAACUCAAAGGAUGACGG
RNAcentral lists this ribosomal RNA (916 nucleotides) under uncultured bacterium. RNAcentral's name for it is "bacterial SSU rRNA". It matches the Rfam family "Bacterial small subunit ribosomal RNA", at positions 9 to 873 of the family's 1533-position model. The record is from RNAcentral.